This 253-nucleotide ribosomal RNA is filed under the name uncultured bacterium. RNAcentral's name for it is "partial 16S ribosomal RNA". It matches the Rfam family "Bacterial small subunit ribosomal RNA", at positions 524 to 776 of the family's 1533-position model. The record is from RNAcentral.
GACAGAGGGUGCAAACGUUGCUCGGAAUCACUGGGCGUAAAGGGCGUGUAGGCGGGCAGGAAAGUCAGAUGUGAAAUCCCCAGGCUCAACCUGGGAACUGCAUUUGAAACUCCCUUUCUUGAGUAUCGGAGAGGAAAGCGGAAUUCCUGGUGUAGAGGUGAAAUGCGUAGAUAUCUGGAGGAACACCGGUGGCGAAGGCGGCAUCCUGGACCGAUAUUGACGCUGAGGAGCGAAAGCCAGGGGAGCAAACGGG